RNAcentral lists this ribosomal RNA (530 nucleotides) under Fluviicola sp. Its description in RNAcentral is "bacterial SSU rRNA". It matches the Rfam family "Bacterial small subunit ribosomal RNA", at positions 1 to 522 of the family's 1533-position model. Lineage: Bacteria; Pseudomonadati; Bacteroidota; Flavobacteriia; Flavobacteriales; Crocinitomicaceae. The record is from RNAcentral.
ACAACGGAGAGUUUGAUCCUGGCUCAGGAUGAACGCUAGCGGCAGGCUUAACACAUGCAAGUCGAGGGGUAACAUAGAGAAGCUUGCUUUUCUGAUGACGACCGGCGCACGGGUGCGUAACGCGUAUGCAACCUACCUUUUACUGGGGAAUAGCCCGAAGAAAUUCGGAUUAAUGCCCCAUGGUAUUAUAUACUCGCAUGAGUUUUAUAAUUAAAGAUUACGGUAAGAGAUGGGCAUGCGUCCCAUUAGCUAGAUGGUAAGGUAACGGCUUACCAUGGCAACGAUGGGUAGGGGGCCUGAGAGGGUGAUCCCCCACACUGGUACUGAGACACGGACCAGACUCCUACGGGAGGCAGCAGUGAGGAAUAUUGGGCAAUGGAGGCAACUCUGACCCAGCCAUGCCGCGUGCAGGAAGACGGCCCUAUGGGUUGUAAACUGCUUUUAUACAGGAAGAAACACUCCUUCGAGUAGGGAGCUUGACGGUACUGUAAGAAUAAGCACCGGCUAACUCCGUGCCAGCAGCCGCGGUA